GUGGAUAUCAAGCGCCUGACCCUGGAAACUGC
RNAcentral lists this non-coding RNA (32 nucleotides) under Geobacter sulfurreducens PCA. The record is from RNAcentral. Lineage: Bacteria; Pseudomonadati; Thermodesulfobacteriota; Desulfuromonadia; Geobacterales; Geobacteraceae.